Molecule: ribosomal RNA, 253 nt
Filed under: uncultured bacterium
Lineage: Bacteria
Description: partial 16S ribosomal RNA
Rfam family: Bacterial small subunit ribosomal RNA
Source: RNAcentral
UACGUAGGGUGCGAGCGUUAAUCGGAAUUACUGGGCGUAAAGCGUGCGCAGGCGGCGCGUUAAGACAGGUGUGAAAGCCCCGAGCUUAACUUGGGAAUUGCGCUUGUGACUGGCGUGCUGGAGUGUGGCAGAGGGAGGUGGAAUUCCACGUGUAGCAGUGAAAUGCGUAGAGAUGUGGAGGAACACCGAUGGCGAGGGCAGCCUCCUGGGCCAGCACUGACGCUCAUGCACGAAAGCGUGGGGAGCAAACAGG